AGUGAACGCUGGCGGUAGGCCUAACACAUGCAAGUCGAACGGCAGCACAGUAAGAGCUUGCUCUUACGGGUGGCGAGUGGCGGACGGGUGAGGAAUACAUCGGAAUCUACUUUUUCGUGGGGGAUAACGUAGGGAAACUUACGCUAAUACCGCAUACGACCUACGGGUGAAAGCAGGGGAUCUUCGGACCUUGCGCGAUUGAAUGAGCCGAUGUCGGAUUAGCUAGUUGGCGGGGUAAAGGCCCACCAAGGCGACGAUCCGUAGCUGGUCUGAGAGGAUGAUCGCCCCCACUGGACCUGGGCACCGGCCCCGCCCCCACGGGGGGGCAGCAGGGGGGAAUUUUGGACAACGGGCGCAACCCUGAUCCCGCCAUCCCGGGUGGGUGAAGAAGGCCUUCGGGUUUUAAAGCCCUUUUUUUGGGAAAGAAAAGCAGCAGGUUAAUCCCCCGCUUUUCUGACGGUACCCAAAGAAUAAGCCCCGGCUAACUUCGU
RNAcentral lists this ribosomal RNA (491 nucleotides) under uncultured bacterium. RNAcentral's name for it is "partial 16S ribosomal RNA". It matches the Rfam family "Bacterial small subunit ribosomal RNA", at positions 29 to 506 of the family's 1533-position model. The record is from RNAcentral.